RNAcentral lists this ribosomal RNA (460 nucleotides) under uncultured bacterium. Its description in RNAcentral is "partial 16S ribosomal RNA". It matches the Rfam family "Bacterial small subunit ribosomal RNA", at positions 338 to 795 of the family's 1533-position model. The record is from RNAcentral.
CCUACGGGAGGCAGCAGUGAGGAAUAUUGGUCAAUGGGCGUAAGCCUGAACCAGCCAAGUCGCGUGCGGGUUGAAGGUUCUAUGGAUCGUAAACCUCUUUUAUAAGGGAAUAAAGUGCGGGACGUGUCCCGUUUUGUAUGUACCUUAUGAAUAAGGAUCGGCUAACUCCGUGCCAGCAGCCGCGGUAAUACGGAGGAUCCGAGCGUUAUCCGGAUUUAUUGGGUUUAAGGGGUGCGUAGGCGGCCUUUUAAGUCAGCGGGGAAAGUCUGUGGCUCAACCAUAGAAUUGCCGUUGAAACUGGGAGGAUUGAGGAUGUUUGAGGCAGGCGGAAUGCGUGGGGUAGCGGUGAAAUGCGUAGAUAUCACGCAGAACCCCGAUUGCGAAGGCAGCCUGCCAAGCCAUGACUGACGCUGAUGCACGAAAGCGUGGGGAUCAAACAGGAUUAGAUACCCCAGUAGUC